GCAGCCACUCAUUCAAAGAGUGCGUAAUAGCUCACUGGUCGAGUGAUCCUGCGCCGAAGAUUUCCGGGGCUAAAACUUACUACCGAAGCUACGGCAUCAGUAAUGAUGGGUAGGGGAGCUUCCCAUACGGGUUGAAGCAUGACCGUAAGGACAUGUGGACAGUAUGGGAGUGAGAAUGUUGGCAUGAGUAGCGAGAUGUGGGUGAGAAUCCCACAGGCCGUAAACCCAAGGUUUCCAGGGGAAGGUUCGUCCGCCCUGGGUUAGUCGGGACCUAAGCUGAGGCCGAAAGGCGUAGGUGAUGGACAACAGGUUGAUAUUCCUGUACUACCGAUAACCGUUUGAGAGAAGGGAUGACACAGUAGGAUAAGCUAAGCACACUGUUGGUUAUGUGUGCCCAAGCAUUGAGGCAGUCAAAGUAGGCAAAUACGCUUUGAUAAUGCUGGGAUGUGAUGGGGAGCGAAAUUUAGUAGCGAAGUAGCUGAUUUCACACUGUCAAGAAAAGUCUCUAUCGAGGUUAAAGGUACCCGUACCGCAAACCGACACAGGUGGGUGAGGAGAGUAUCCUAAGGCCA
Molecule: ribosomal RNA, 572 nt
Filed under: Clostridioides difficile
Lineage: Bacteria; Bacillati; Bacillota; Clostridia; Peptostreptococcales; Peptostreptococcaceae
Description: partial 23S ribosomal RNA
Rfam family: Bacterial large subunit ribosomal RNA
Source: RNAcentral